CUUGAGAAGAAAUGCACAUGGUCACCAUCGGUGAGGGAUGAGAGGCCCUCUCUUGCAGAUCUUUCGACACAGCCAGACGGGCUAGUGAGGCCAGAGGAUCCCUGGGCCUUGCUGCUUAACCACCUUACCAGGAAGGCGGUGCCAAGGCAGCGCAGGGAUGGACCCCACUGCUCCGCUCACAGCAUUAAGGGUGGAGAGGGCCUGCCCCACGGUCUCUGACAGCUGACAGCCUGAUUUCCAACGAGAUGACUCCCCAGCCAGAGACCAGAAUCUGCAAAAGCUGCAGCUCUGAAGAAAACAAGGCAAAAUCUUAGCAUCUGUUUGAUCUUGGAGGUGGACACAGAGGGCCACGAUCUGACAUCUCACACU
Molecule: long non-coding RNA, 369 nt
Organism: Talpa occidentalis (Iberian mole)
Lineage: Eukaryota; Metazoa; Chordata; Mammalia; Eulipotyphla; Talpidae
Exons: 3
Source: RefSeq, a predicted model, not a curated record